RNAcentral lists this transfer RNA (76 nucleotides) under Christensenellaceae bacterium. Its description in RNAcentral is "tRNA-Thr". It matches the Rfam family "tRNA". Rfam says of the family: Transfer RNA (tRNA) molecules are approximately 80 nucleotides in length. Their secondary structure includes four short double-helical elements and three loops (D, anti-codon, and T loops). Further hydrogen bonds mediate the characteristic L-shaped molecular structure. tRNAs have two regions of fundamental functional importance: the anti-codon, which is responsible for specific mRNA codon recognition, and the 3' end, to which the tRNAs corresponding amino acid is attached (by aminoacyl-tRNA synthetases). tRNAs cope with the degeneracy of the genetic code in two manners: having more than one tRNA (with a specific anti-codon) for a particular amino acid; and 'wobble' base-pairing, i.e. permitting non-standard base-pairing at the 3rd anti-codon position. Lineage: Bacteria; Bacillati; Bacillota; Clostridia; Christensenellales; Christensenellaceae. The record is from RNAcentral.
GCUUCUGUGGCUCAGUCGGUAGAGCAAUCGCUUCGUAAGCGAUGGGUCGGCAGUUCGAAUCUGCCCAGAAGCUCCA